This is a long non-coding RNA of Xenopus tropicalis (tropical clawed frog), 340 nucleotides long. RefSeq lists it as uncharacterized. The record is from RefSeq and is a predicted model, not a curated record. The transcript is spliced from 3 exons. Lineage: Eukaryota; Metazoa; Chordata; Amphibia; Anura; Pipidae.
CGUGGAUCGUUUACUUCUGCCUGCUCAGCCUUUCUCAUACCUUCACUGACUGUGAGUUUUCUGCUUGUGUUGGGCCUCUCAGCGCAUCUCUUCUGGACUCUGAAACGGCCACUUACCAAACCAGCAAACACUAGAGAUUGUGAAGUAGAACAGUCAAGAAGCAGGAGAACUGAUGCUCAGCAGGAUAUCGUUUAUGCUUCUCUGGAUCUUCAAGCACUUUCCCGUGGCAGAAAAUAACCCACCAAUAGACGAUAUAUGGAGUACAAAUAGCCAUACAAAAUAAGUACAGGUAUGGGAUCCUUUAUCGGGAAACCUGUUAUCCAGAAAGCUUCAAAUUACG